CGCAAGAUUAAAACUCAAAUGAAUUGACGGGGGCCCGCACAAGCGGGUGGAGCAUGUGGUUUAAUUCGAUGCAACCCGAAGAACCUUACCUACUCUUGACAUCCAGAGAACUUUCCAGAGAUGGAUUGGUGCCUUCGGGAACUCUGAGACAGGUGCUGCAUGGCUGUCGUCAGCUCGUGUUGUGAAAUGUUGGGUUAAGUCCCGCAACGAGCGCAACCCUUAUCCUUGUUUGCCAGCGAGUAAUGUCGGGAACUCCAGGGAGACUGCCGGUGAUAAACCGGAGGAAGGUGGGGACGACGUCAAGUCAUCAUGGCCCUUACGAGUAGGGCUACACACGUGCUACAAUGGCGCAUACAGAGGGCGGCCAACUUGCGAAAGUGAGCGAAUCCCAAAAAGUGCGUCGUAGUCCGGAUUGGAGUCUGCAACUCGACUCCAUGAAGUCGGAAUCGCUAGUAAUCGUGGAUCAGAAUGCCACGGUGAAUACGUUCCCGGGCCUUGUACACACCGCCCGUCACACCAUGGGAGUGGGCUGCAAAAGAAGUAGGUAGUUUAACCUUCGGGGGGACGCUU
This 570-nucleotide ribosomal RNA is filed under the name Vibrio sp. RNAcentral's name for it is "bacterial SSU rRNA". It matches the Rfam family "Bacterial small subunit ribosomal RNA", at positions 887 to 1455 of the family's 1533-position model. The record is from RNAcentral. Lineage: Bacteria; Pseudomonadati; Pseudomonadota; Gammaproteobacteria; Vibrionales; Vibrionaceae.